UGAUUAGGUUACAAAAAGCCUUGUAUCUGAAUCUCUUGGAGCACUUGUUCUGGAGAAAACUAACAACCAUGUAGGAAGACUGAAAACUUUACUUUUGAGAAGCCAAAGCACAUGAAAAGAGGCCAUGAAUAGUGUGAUGCCAGAGUAAGAGAAAAAGAAGAUGAGAAGGGGUCAGAUCUUUAAAGUGCUGGGUAUAUGAGUGAAGAAGUCCUCUUUGAAGUGAAAACUCCAGCCCUAUCUACUUCAUAUGGUCCUAUAGAUCAGUGAUCAAACCACCAGGUACCAAAUCCAGGGUGACUGACUGGCAGACGAAGUAGCAAAAAGAACAGUCUCUUUCACAUAGGCUUCAUGCCCCAUGUGGAAUCCAAGGCAGGGCCUGAAUUCAGAACCCUAAAAUCAAGACCUGUGCUGAGAUGAAGAGUUGGACCCUCAACCAACUGAUCUAGCCAGCUUGUUUAUCCUUACUCAACAACAUAUCACAACAAAUUUACCGCAAAGACCUUCUUUUCUUCUACAUCUGCUCUCCCCAACCUUCUGAGGAUGCUUCUACCUUGUAUACUGUUUUCCUUAACUUUGGUUCGGACUGCAAACAUAUUAUUUCACUAUCUUUCAACCUAUGUGACAUUUGAUAAGAACUCUCACUUAAGAUUCUCUCCAAGAUUUUAUAACUAUUUUUUGCUGCAAAACCAGCUUAUGAAGAAUGUGCAUCCCAUUGGAGAUACAUCCUUAGGCAAGGAGAUAACAGAAGGCCGGGAGAUGACAUAUUUAAAGUAUUGUUUUAAAACAUAAAAUAAAAUAAUAAAAAUAAGUAAAUAAAGAGAACUAUCAACCAAGAAAUCUAUUCCAUUAAAACUACUAUUCAAAAAUAAAAGAAUGAUAAAGAUAUUAACUGACAAAUAAAAACUAAGAGAAUCCAGUGUUAGCAGAUCUGCCCCCCUAGAAAUACUAAUGGGAGUUUUUCAGGCUGAACUGAAUGGACAAUAGAUGAUGACUCACAUCUGCAUGGAGAAAUAAAGAGAGUGGUAAAGAUG
Canis lupus familiaris (dog) is the source of this 1031-nucleotide long non-coding RNA. RefSeq lists it as uncharacterized. The record is from RefSeq and is a predicted model, not a curated record. The transcript is spliced from 7 exons. NCBI's taxonomy places the organism in Eukaryota, Metazoa, Chordata, Mammalia, Carnivora, Canidae.